Long non-coding RNA from Thamnophis elegans (Western terrestrial garter snake), 272 nucleotides. RefSeq lists it as uncharacterized. The record is from RefSeq and is a predicted model, not a curated record. NCBI's taxonomy places the organism in Eukaryota, Metazoa, Chordata, Lepidosauria, Squamata, Natricidae. The transcript has 3 exons.
CGGGCCUCGGCGGGGCGGACGCGGCUCUGCUUAAAAGAUGUGGCGUCGUGGUUUUUUUUCUCGCUAUCCAUCUUUCAACAGUUUGUUCUUGGGGCGAAAGUCCAAGAACGGCUUCAAUUAUUUAACAUCCGAUUCAAUUUGUACUUCAGAUUGAAGUACGAGGUGGAGUGAUGCAAGAAAUGCCAAUAGAGCUGCUGGAAAAAAGUUGAAGAGAGAAGGUGACCAGCCACAGGGUGAAAUCAACUUACCUUCGCUACCGGUAUGCAAAUGUG